This 47-nucleotide non-coding RNA is filed under the name Trichobilharzia regenti. Lineage: Eukaryota; Metazoa; Platyhelminthes; Trematoda; Strigeidida; Schistosomatidae. The record is from RNAcentral.
AUCCAACUGAUGAGUCCCAAAUAGCACGAAAUCGCGUGAUCCUGGAU